CGUUCCAGUGUUGCAUUUACAAUGUGACGUAGCGAUGGCUGUAAAUGCAUUAUCUGGAAUGCA
Molecule: microRNA precursor, 63 nt
Filed under: Ixodes scapularis (black-legged tick)
Lineage: Eukaryota; Metazoa; Arthropoda; Arachnida; Ixodida; Ixodidae
Description: Isc-Mir-277_pre stem-loop
Source: RNAcentral